This is a long non-coding RNA of Oncorhynchus tshawytscha (Chinook salmon), 3615 nucleotides long. Lineage: Eukaryota; Metazoa; Chordata; Actinopteri; Salmoniformes; Salmonidae. The record is from Ensembl.
CCAUUUUGAAUUCAGGCUUUAACAACAAAAUGUGGAACAGGUCAAAGUGGUAUAAAUACUUUGACGGGACUGUAUGAAUGUAGAUAAUAGAAAGUGUUGCUGAACAUUUUAUUUGUUUUCGAAUAUUUUAUAAUAAUAAAAAAUAACAUUAAUCUCAGAAGUAAAACUCAAUAGAAAACAGCACUGAUGGUGAUAGAAAUAUAGAUGUUUUAUAACAAAAAUGACAUUACGUCUGGUAAAUGACUCAAAUAUAAAAAGGUACAACUCCAUAGAAAGCACUGGUUAAGAUUGAUAUAGAUGUUUAUGUUUUUGUAUUGGGAAAAAAAAAACAUUCCACCCAGUAGUAAAAUUCAAUGUUUAUUGGCCACACAUCAAAACAGUAUGUUUUUCAUUUCAAGAGGGAAUGUAUAAGGUAUAGACUAUGAAAGUGCAAAUAGUAUUUCAAGGAUUAGUUGCUUUAUAAUAAAAAUCUAAUGGCUUUCAACAACAUUUGCCUUUUUAAAAUUUUUAUAUAUUUUGUAAAAAGUAAAAUGCCAAGAAAAUCCAAAUUCAAAUGUAAUUUCAUGUUUUACUCAUUUCAUGCACAGCUGAAACUGUUACAUCAAGGACAAAUCAAUUAUCAUGACUGAAGUCCCACAAGUUCACCAGCUUCGUGUACGGAACUCACAGCUUGACGUUUGCAAGACCACGCUUCAAUGCAAUAAGUUUCUUCAGCUAUUCUUCAAUAGUCACUUUACAAUUAUGUCCAAUACAAAUCACACUAGGUUUGGCUAAAGAUCAAUUCCUUCCAAUACAAAUCACACUAGGUUUGGCUAAAGAUCAAUUCCAAAAUGUGAAACAUUGAAAUAUCAAUAUCAUUUAUAAUUCAUUAAUACUUUAUAUAGGCAACAAAUCAAUACAACUAUUUUUUCUUUCAAAAUUAGUUAUUCAGUAUAUCUCGAUAUCCAUUUUCAAAUCGUAAUUAGAAACUUUCAAUUUAAUUAAAUACGUCUGUUUUCCCCCCACUGUCCUGCAUUGUGUUUUCUGCUCCAGGAUACAUUUUAUAAAUACUUUUCCCCUAAAAGUCAAACACUCGUUAUCAACUUGUAGAUCAGUUAUCGAACCCACAGAUAAUCCAAGAACAACCCACCAAAGCCCAUCCGCAACGAAAUAACUAACAAACCAGUAAAACAGUAUUCAAUAUCAUCAGGUCAAAAUCAGAGAUGUAAUUUAUAAAACAUUAUAUAAAAUAAAACACUCUGGGGAAAGAACUUGAUACCACACUAAAGAGAGGCUACAAUUAUAAAAAUUUAUUUUUAAAAAAAGUAUCAGGUUUGGACACGUGUUAGUGUUGUGAGUGGAAUUUCUAUAACGUGUGUUUGUAGUUUGUACACUACAUGACCAAAAGUAUGUGGACACCUGCCCGUCCAACAUCUCAUUGCAAAAAACAUGGGUAUUACAUAUGGAGUUGGUCCUCCCCUUUGCUGCUAUAACAGCCUCCUCUCUUCUGGGAAGGCUUUCACUAGAUGUAGGAACAUUGCUGCUAUAACAGCCUCCACUCUUCUAGGAAGGCUUUCCACUAGAUGUUGGAACAUUGCUGCUAUAACAGCCUCCUCUCUUCUAGGAAGGCUUUCCACUAGAGGUUGGAACAUUGCUGCUAUAACAGCCUCCUCUCUUCUAGGAAGGCUUUCCACUAGAUGUUGGAACAUUGCUGCUAUAACAGCCUCCUCUCUUCUGGGAAGGCUUUCCACUAGAUGUUGGAACAUUGCUGCUAUAACAGACUCCUCUCUUCUGGGAAGGCUUUCCACUAGAUGUUGGAACAUUGCUGAGGGGACUUUCUUCCAUUCAGUCACAAGAGCAUUAGUGAGGUCAGUGCAUUGAUGUUGGGCGAUUAGGCCUCCUGGCUCGCAGUCUGCGUUCCAAUUCAUCCCAAAGGUGUUCGAUGGGGUUGAGGUCAGGGCUCUGUGCAGGCCAGUCAAGUUCUUCUACACUGAUCUCGACAAACCAUUUCCGUAUGGACCUCGCUUUGUGAACGGGGGCAUUGUCAUGCUGAAACAGGAAAGGGCCUUCCCCAAAACAUUUGUCUCAAAGUUGGAAGCAGAGAAUCAUCUUGAAUGUCAUUGUCUGCUGUAGCAUUAAGAUUUCCCUUCACUGGAACUAAGGGACCCGAACCAUGGAAAACAGCCCCAGACCAUUAUUCUUCCUCCACCAAACUUUACAGUUGGCACUAUGCAUUCAGGCAGGUAGCGUUCUCCUGGCAUUCGCCAAACCCAGAUUCAUCCGUCAGACUGCCAGAUGGUGAAGCGUUUCCACUACUCCAGAAUCCAAUGGUGGUGAGCUUUACACCACUCCAGCCGACGCUUGGCUUUGCGCAUGGUGAUCUUAGGCUUGUGUGCGGCUGCUCGGCCAUGGAAACCCAUUUCAUGAAGCUCCCAACGAACAGUUCUUGUGCUGACGUUGCUUCCAGAGGCAGUUUGAAACUCGGUAGUGAGUGUUGCAACCGAGGUCAGACGAUUGUUACGUGCCAAGCGCUUCAGCACUCGGGUGGUCCCGUUCUGUGAGCUUAUGUGGCCUACCACUUAGCGGCUGAGCCGCUCUGUAAUAACAGAACUUACAGUUGACCGGGGGGCAGCUCUAGCAGGGCAGAAAUUUGACAAACUGACUUGUUGGAAAGGUGGCAUCCUACGAUGGUGCCACGUUGAACGUCAAUGAGCUCUUCACUAAGGCAAUUCUACUACCAGUGUUUGUCUAUGGAGAUUGCAUGGAGGCAUGCUCAAUUUUAUACACCUGUCGGCAACAGAUGUCUGAAAUAGACGAAUCCACUCAUUUGAAGGGGUGUCCACAUACUUUUGUAUAUAUAGUGUAGCUAGACACGAUUACUUACUGUAAGACCUCUGUAAAAUGUGGCAAUACAUUUAAAAAGAUUGACAUAAAGGCACUGUAAUGAAUUGCGUAGAGAACCAUUUUUUACCCCUCUACUGUAGUUGCUGAGUCCCAUCAAGGCUUAAAACUUUCGUAACAGGUUUAUAUAUAUAUAUCUUUAUAAAACGGGCCGGUUUCCUCAUUCGGCCUAAACCUAGUUCUGGGCUAGAGAGCAGUGGUGAAUGGACAUUCUCCAUUGAAAGUGAUGUUUAGUCCAGGACCAAGGGGUCGUCUGAGAAAGCAGCCCUAUAAUAGUUCAGAAUGAACCAGUGACAUCAUUAUUAGGUAAAAAACAUGAACAACGUAUCUGAUUACAAUUCUCCUCUUAACUACUGUUGUUUUCCUAUUGGAGUGAACAGCAGCAGAUUGUUCCUCUCUAUUGUCCCUUCAGGGCUACUGGCCUCGUCCAUCUUCAUGAAGACAGUCUUCUAAUGGGUUCUAGCCUCGUCCAUCUUCACGAAGACAGUCUUCUAAUGGGUUCUGGCCUCGUCCAUCUUCACGAAGACAGUCUUCUAAUGGGUUCUAGCCUCGUCCAUCUUCACGAAGACAGUCUUCUAAUGGGUUCUGGCCUCGUCCAUCUUCAUGAAGACAGUCUUCUAAUGGGUUCUGGCCUCGUCCAUCUUCAUGAAGACAGUCUUCUAAUGGGUUCUAGCCUCGUCCAUCUUCAUGAAGACAGUCUUCUAAUGGGUUCUAGCCUCGUCCAUGAAGACAGUC